Molecule: long non-coding RNA, 3869 nt
Filed under: Helianthus annuus (common sunflower)
Lineage: Eukaryota; Viridiplantae; Streptophyta; Magnoliopsida; Asterales; Asteraceae
Description: hypothetical non coding rna
Source: RNAcentral
UUAAACUCGAAACGAAAGAGAUGAUGGGUUGCUCUAUUUUAAGGAUCCUUGUGGAUGAUUACCGCCCAAAUCAGAGCCCUAAUUGGAUUCUUCGUACACCUCAAUAUCUACAUUACAACUCAAUAAGGACAAACCGAAUUCCUAUUAAGAUCUUCUUAUCUUCAUAGUUAGAUUCUUGAAAAUAUUUAAAGUGCCAAAUGAAAUCCACGGAUUGGAUUCCUGGCAUGCUUUAAAUACCCGUGUCCAAAGAUAACAAAUUAAAGGUCAAAUUAAUCAAUUAUGUGAUUAUGUGAUUAUGUGUUUCUUUUAUGUCUUUGUGUAAUUUGAGUUUUUCGAUAUCCAUAUCCUCGUAGAAUCUUCCAUAUCUCCAUAUGAGGGAUUCAUAGUAGGAUAUCCAAAGGUACUACCUUAAAUCCUUAAUGGGCUUCUACAUGGUAGUUAAGACCCUUGGAUCAUAUAGUACCAUUCCAUAAUUCGAAAAAGACCCCAUGAGUGGUCUAGUAAAAAGAUUAAUUCAAAUCUGGUUAGAAAUGACAUGUGAUGGUAUAGCUGGAAAGACUCCUUGGUGGUCUGUUUUAAAAGAUCAUUUAUUGAUCUAAAGGACUCUAUGGUGGUCUAGUCACACUCAUCACAUGUUCGUUCAUUUGGUUUUCCCUACACAUUAUCAAAUACACUAUGUGGACUAUGCAAGGAAUUACGUAACUAUGGACGCGUACAUAAUUAUGAAAUUCAGUGCACGGAAACCACAGUAAGAUUUAUCAUGUGUAAGAACCGAUAGUGGCAACAAUAGCAGAACGUGAACAAUGUAAUGGAGGUACGGUGGACGCACCAAUGGCGCUUCAUAUACUUGUAUAUAAGUGUCCCUCUUACAUUGCAAGCAUAAUGUUAUUAAAGUUACUAGAAGUUCAGAACCCUAACCAGUGUUGUCUUAUCUUUUCGACUUCAUGUUUCGAGCUCUCACAAGUUUCCUCUGAUUAAAAUUUCGGGACGAAAUUUCCUAAAGUAGGGGAGACUGUGACAUCUGUGCCUCCACGGCCAUAAAAAAAAUACCAAAUUAAUGAAAUAUUGUAUUUCAUACUUGGGAUUUGUAUAAAUAUGUGUAUCAUUUGCACAUAUCCAUUCUCGUUCGAUUUCGAGCUCUAACUCGCUUUCUGGAAAGUUAUACGCGAACUGAUGCGUAAACAUAAUAAGUUUAACGCGACAAACACUCCGAAAAAAGUUACAUAGGCUUAACAUACCUUAAAUAACCUUUACAUAACUUAGAAAUAAGUUUUGGAAGGUUUGGUGUGUCGAAAUCAAGUUUAUUCGCUUACAGGGACUAAUUUCGACAAACUGCGAAAGUAUGCCGAUUCGUACUGUAACGAACAUUCCGAAACUUUAUCAUAAGUUAAACAUGCCCUAAAUAUCCUAAACAUAGCUUAGAAAUAAGCUUUGAGUGGUUCGGUGUGCAAAAAUAUGCUUAUUUGAUCUUACAGGGACUAAAAGUGUCAAAAACGACGUAAGUUUGCAUUUUCGCACAUAUCUUACGUUCUGACCACAUCUGGCAUCCAAAAUUUUUGUACACACUAAAAUAUUUUUAUUUUAGUGAUCGGAAUGCAAAAAUACUGUUCGUCGCUUAAUUUGGUUCGUUUUCGCGUCCGUUUAAGUUUCGUCGUAAUUUAAGGAACAACGCGACCGUACGACCAAAGGAGCCGACAUCCGAGAGUGUUCCAAGCAUAUUUUGAGUCCUCUAAACCUUAUUGACCUUUUAGAGCCUUGAAAAUGGCUUAACGGGGGUCAAAAGGGCCUGAAAUGAGCUUAAAACACAUGCAGGGACCUAAACUGCCAUUUUUGCAAAUUUGUGCUGAACUGGGGAGGUCAGGCGGGCCACGUAAGCCCCCUCCCAUAUCUUGCGGGGGCCGUGUCAGUGUGCCCAGUUCCAGAAACUCAGUUUCAGCAAUCUGUUGCAACUUCAGGGGCUGUAUAUGUAAUUUCUUGGUGUGGUGAGCAAGUUACCACCUCCCCAAGGCUUCUAACCUGCAUCAAACAAGUGUAUGGCCAUGAUUUAAUGCUUGGAGGUUACACAAACAUGUGUAAUGAUCCUGUGAACUUCCUACAAGUAUAAAUAGCCAUGCUUUCUUCCAUUUUCUUUGCUCAUUUCCUUCUCUUCUCUUCUCCAUCUGAUUUGGAAGGCUCCCUCAAGUGUUUGGAGCUUUCUAGUCUCAUUGGGAACUUGGUUUUUUUGUAGAAAAGAUAGCAAGGACCCAUUGUGAGUAUUCUUUCAUUCUUUUUAUUGUUUUCCUAGUUUGGAAGUCAAAUAUAGUUUGACUUUCAGCUUUGACCACGAGUUGGUCAACGAGAAGUUCGUUUGAACUUCGCAACGUGAGCGUAAUCACGUUGGUUAUAGUCCUUAGUGACUAUACCCACUGAUUACCACGUUAUCUAGGUGUAGUGACGAGUCUAAGUUUCGGUCAAAAUGCGUUUUAGAACGCAUUUUGCAACGGAACUAUUAUUAAGUAUCAAAACGGCUCGUUUUAAUACCAAAUCAGUAGGUUAAACAUGUUUUGACAUGUUUAGCUCGUCGCUUUUAGUUAGUGCUUGUUUAGAGUCGUAAGUUGAGCGGUCUAAACCACCGCUUAGACUUUCGAACUUGACCCGUUUGGUCGAUCAUUAGGAUCUGACCAAGCAUGAUUAGUGACCAUAGUUGCACAGGGAAUAACCUUCCGAGGUUAUACCUUAUGGUCACCAAGUUUAAGUAGUUGUAUGAUAGGUGGAUUAUAUGCCUUAGGUAAAUUACCAAAAUGCCCUUUUCAUGCAUAAUUGGACUUUAAACAUAUGUAACCUAACUUUUGUCACCUAAACUGAUUAUGCAACAUAUUUAAUCAUGUUUAGGCAUAUAAUACUUGUCAUAGGACUAGUUAGACGUCUCGAACGCGUUUUACGCAAAUGACGCGUUAAAGUAGCGUAAGCUAACUAAACGGGUUGUAACGGGUCAAAAGCACUUAGGUUAGGUUUCAAUUUAGAAUGCAGGCUUUGUUAAACCAUGUCAUAUGAGUUCCAAUAACUCGUUUGGUUUACAAGACCUCAUCCUAUCCGAUCUUCCGACUUAGGUCCGGUUUAUUUAUAUAGUUAGGUUGCCGAUUGAUUCCGUGCUCCCUCUAGCUUUGCUUGGUUGUUGUUCAAAGACCACUAAGCAUUCUCAGGUGAGUACGUAGUUCCCCUCUUUUACUAUUUUCAAUUGUUUCGGGGUAUUCAUAUGUGCUAAAUGUUUUCGAGGUUUUAACGAUGGUUUCAAAAAUAAAUAAUAUGGUUUAUACAAAAUUUAUAACGAUUUGAUAAAGUAAACAAACUUGUUGGUUGUAUUUACAUAACGAAUAAUAUCCAUUAAUUUUGGCCGAACCGACCAGUAUUAGGUUAGGGUACCAUAGGAUCUGACAAAUCCUGUUAUCAGACUGCACCCAUGGUUAUGUGUGGGUUAGGUGGGUAACGACCGAAUCUGAUGAUUGUUAACUUACCCUUUGGUGGUUAGUUAAUGCGAGAUUGGCGAUAGGCGAGUCACGAAGGUUUGGAUAUUAUUAGCGAGACAGCCAAAAGUAGUUUUCACAAUUAAAACGAGAAUGACUUAAACGACUGAAACGAUUUUGACGAAUUAAACGAAUUGGAUAAACGAUUGGUUUUUGGUUUGUUUAGAUAACGAGACGGGUGUGAUGUGAUGAAAGCAUGGUGGAUACGCCGCUGGUAUUGUUGAUUGAUGUUGAUUACUUGGAUGCAUACUCACAUAGGACUGGACGAGGCCUUAGUGACAUAAUAACAAUAAUAGACUAUGUUUAACUUGUUUGUUAGAUCUCAAGACGAUGUAAAUGUGUAAUGUUUAAUAAAACAAAACUUCA